UCGCUGGAAGGUGAAGAGUUGAAUGGGUGGUUGAUUUGGAUGAAUUUGGACUUUGAUUGUUCUGCCAUUGGAGUAGUGUUUACGGAGAGUUGUGGGUAAGUUAAGGAACGAUUUUUGUGGUGAAAGGGAUGAAGAAGUGAAGAUGAAGAAGAAGAAGAGGGUUAUGAGAGAAAUUGAAAGAGUGAAGUAGAACCAGAAAGAUAAUUGAGGUUGUUGUGUUUUGGGUUUGUGGGAAGACUUGGUUUUUGUUUUGGUUGAGUGUUGUUUAGGUUGUUGUUGAUUUUGUUCUUCUGUUAAGAUCGCCAUGAAUGAGUGAUCAAGUUUGGGAAAGUUUUCAAAGGUUUCUUUUUUGGUUUCAGGCUUUAAUUCAAAAAAGAUGAUACCAUGAAAUCUAGAUCAAGGGGGACAUCAUCAUUGCAUUGCAUGGGGUGAGUCUUUCUACCAAAGGAAUAAGCUAAACAUCUUUGCUUUUUAGAUUUACCGUAGAGUUAAAGUUUGAUGUAUUUAGAUAACAUUAAUUUUUAGGGUGUGAUUGCAAUUGCAUUGCAUGAAAAAAGCACAGGAGAGGAUUCCUGGCUCCUCGAUUGGAGGUGUAGACAAAGUGAGAAGAGAGAAAUAUGUGAGAGAGUGUCAUAAGAGAGAAAUAGAGUAGAUUUAAUAUAUUGUUUGACAUAAAAGAAAGAGACACGAAAUAAAAAAGAAAAAAAUGUUGAAUAUAUUUAAAAGUACUAAAAUACCCUUGAAUUAAAAAACCUUUCACAUUUGCAUUUUUUAAAAUUUACUCAAAUCACAACACCAAAUCAAUAUUCCCAGCAUAAUACACUUUGUAAAAUAAACUCAUCAAAGCAUUAUUUGAAUUAGUUGUCCAGUUUUCUCCACUCCGUGUAUAUAUCCAUAAAAAAAUAAAUUUAAAACAAAAAUCAGGUUAGCCAAUUUUUUUUUAGUAUGUAAAGUUUUAUUUUAAUAAUAAAAAAAACAAAAUCUUUAUCAAUCCGCCAUGAGCAUAGCAAGUGUGACUAUUACCUUUUCUUCAUCCACCACACAGAUCCACCAAAAUACCAACAGCAUUUGAGAUGUUAUUGAGAUGGAUGCUGAGUGUUUCAGGUAGUAUAGAGACAAGGGCAUAUUAGGAAUAGCAGAAAAAAAUGCUUCUCUUCCAUC
RNAcentral lists this long non-coding RNA (1161 nucleotides) under Trifolium pratense (red clover). RNAcentral describes it as "long non-coding RNA (TPRA_LNC002862)". Lineage: Eukaryota; Viridiplantae; Streptophyta; Magnoliopsida; Fabales; Fabaceae. The record is from RNAcentral.